GACGAACGCUGGCGGCGUGCUUAACACAUGCAAGUCGAACGGAAAGGCCCUGCUUUUGUGGGUUGCUCGAGUGGCGAACGGGUAAGUAACACUUGAGUAACCUGCCCUUGACUUUGGGAUAACUUCAGGAAACUGGGGCUAAUACCGGAUAGGAGCUCCUGCUGCAUGGUGGGGGUGGGAAAGUUUCGGCGGUUGGGGAUGGACUCGCGGCUUAUCAGCUUGUUGGUGGGGUAGUGGCUUACCAAGGCUUUGACGGGUAGCCGGCCUGAGAGGGUGACCGGCCACAUUGGGACUGAGAUACGGCCCAGACUCCUACGGGAGGCAGCAGUGGGGAAUAUUGCACAAUGGGCGGAAGCCUGAUGCAGCAACGCCGCGUGCGGGAUGACGGCCUUCGGGUUGUAAACCGCUUUCGCCUGUGACGAAGCGUGAGUGACGGUAAUGGGUAAAGAAGCACCGGCUAACUACGUG
RNAcentral lists this ribosomal RNA (468 nucleotides) under uncultured bacterium. RNAcentral's name for it is "partial 16S ribosomal RNA". It matches the Rfam family "Bacterial small subunit ribosomal RNA", at positions 28 to 507 of the family's 1533-position model. The record is from RNAcentral.